This 1852-nucleotide ribosomal RNA is filed under the name Escherichia coli. RNAcentral's name for it is "partial 23S ribosomal RNA". It matches the Rfam family "Bacterial large subunit ribosomal RNA", at positions 1 to 1869 of the family's 2925-position model. Lineage: Bacteria; Pseudomonadati; Pseudomonadota; Gammaproteobacteria; Enterobacterales; Enterobacteriaceae. The record is from RNAcentral.
GGGUUGUGAGGUUAAGCGACUAAGCGUACACGGUGGAUGCCCUGGCAGUCAGAGGCGAUGAAGGACGUGCUAAUCUGCGAUAAGCGUCGGUAAGGUGAUAUGAACCGUUAUAACCGGCGAUUUCCGAAUGGGGAAACCCAGUGUGUUUCGACACACUAUCAUUAACUGAAUCCAUAGGUUAAUGAGGCGAACCGGGGGAACUGAAACAUCUAAGUACCCCGAGGAAAAGAAAUCAACCGAGAUUCCCCCAGUAGCGGCGAGCGAACGGGGAGCAGCCCAGAGCCUGAAUCAGUAUGUGUGUUAGUGGAAGCGUCUGGAAAGGCGCGCGAUACAGGGUGACAGCCCCGUACACAAAAAUGCACAUGCUGUGAGCUCGAUGAGUAGGGCGGGACACGUGGUAUCCUGUCUGAAUAUGGGGGGACCAUCCUCCAAGGCUAAAUACUCCUGACUGACCGAUAGUGAACCAGUACCGUGAGGGAAAGGCGAAAAGAACCCCGGCGAGGGGAGUGAAAAAGAACCUGAAACCGUGUACGUACAAGCAGUGGGAGCACGCUUAGGCGUGUGACUGCGUACCUUUUGUAUAAUGGGUCAGCGACUUAUAUUCUGUAGCAAGGUUAACCGAAUAGGGGAGCCGAAGGGAAACCGAGUCUUAACUGGGCGUUAAGUUGCAGGGUAUAGACCCGAAACCCGGUGAUCUAGCCAUGGGCAGGUUGAAGGUUGGGUAACACUAACUGGAGGACCGAACCGACUAAUGUUGAAAAAUUAGCGGAUGACUUGUGGCUGGGGGUGAAAGGCCAAUCAAACCGGGAGAUAGCUGGUUCUCCCCGAAAGCUAUUUAGGUAGCGCCUCGUGAAUUCAUCUCCGGGGGUAGAGCACUGUUUCGGCAAGGGGGUCAUCCCGACUUACCAACCCGAUGCAAACUGCGAAUACCGGAGAAUGUUAUCACGGGAGACACACGGCGGGUGCUAACGUCCGUCGUGAAGAGGGAAACAACCCAGACCGCCAGCUAAGGUCCCAAAGUCAUGGUUAAGUGGGAAACGAUGUGGGAAGGCCCAGACAGCCAGGAUGUUGGCUUAGAAGCAGCCAUCAUUUAAAGAAAGCGUAAUAGCUCACUGGUCGAGUCGGCCUGCGCGGAAGAUGUAACGGGGCUAAACCAUGCACCGAAGCUGCGGCAGCGACGCUGAUGCGUUGUUGGGUAGGGGAGCGUUCUGUAAGCCUGCGAAGGUGUGCUGUGAGGCAUGCUGGAGGUAUCAGAAGUGCGAAUGCUGACAUAAGUAACGAUAAAGCGGGUGAAAAGCCCGCUCGCCGGAAGACCAAGGGUUCCUGUCCAACGUUAAUCGGGGCAGGGUGAGUCGACCCCUAAGGCGAGGCCGAAAGGCGUAGUCGAUGGGAAACAGGUUAAUAUUCCUGUACUUGGUGUUACUGCGAAGGGGGGACGGAGAAGGCUAUGUUGGCCGGGCGACGGUUGUCCCGGUUUAAGCGUGUAGGCUGGUUUUCCAGGCAAAUCCGGAAAAUCAAGGCUGAGGCGUGAUGACGAGGCACUGCGGUGCUGAAGCAACAAAUGCCCUGCUUCCAGGAAAAGCCUCUAAGCAUCAGGUAACAUCAAAUCGUACCCCAAACCGACACAGGUGGUCAGGUAGAGAAUACCAAGGCGCUUGAGAGAACUCGGGUGAAGGAACUAGGCAAAAUGGUGCCGUAACUUCGGGAGAAGGCACGCUGAUAUGUAGGUGAAGUCCCUCGCGGAUGGAGCUGAAAUCAGUCGAAGAUACCAGCUGGCUGCAACUGUUUAUUAAAAACACAGCACUGUGCAAACACGAAAGUGGACGUAUACGGUGUGACGCCUGCCCGGUGC